Molecule: ribosomal RNA, 253 nt
Filed under: uncultured bacterium
Lineage: Bacteria
Description: partial 16S ribosomal RNA
Rfam family: Bacterial small subunit ribosomal RNA
Source: RNAcentral
UACGUAGGAUCCAAGCGUUAUCCGGAAUCAUUGGGUUUAAAGGGUCCGUAGGCGGUUUUAUAAGUCAGUGGUGAAAUCUGGUCGCUCAACGAUCAAACGGCCAUUGAUACUGUUAGACUUGAAUUAUUGGGAAGUAACUAGAAUAUGUAGUGUAGCGGUGAAAUGCUUAGAUAUUACAUGGAAUACCAAUUGCGAAGGCAGGUUACUGCCAAUGGAUUGACGCUGAUGGACGAAAGCGUGGGGAGCGAACAGG